GACGAACGCUGGCGGCGUGCUUAACACAUGCAAGUCGAGCGGAGCGGCGAACGGGUGAGUAACGCGUGAGUAACUGCCCCCAUCUAUGGGAUAACAGAUGGAAACGGCUGCAAAUACCGGAUAGUGGGGGAUGACUCGCGUCCUAUCCGGUUGUUGGUGGGGUAGUGGACUACCAAGGCGACGACGGGUAGCCGGCCUGAGAGGGCGACCGGCCACAUUGUGCUGUGCUCCGGCCCAAACGCCUCCGGGAGGCAGCAGUGGGGAAUAUUGCCCAAUGGUGGAAACCCUGAUGCAGCAACCCGCUUGCGUGAUGACGGCCUUCGGGUUGUAAACCGCUUUCAGCCCUGCCGCGGUAGUGGCAGAAGAAGCACCGGCUAACUACGUGCCAGCAGCCGCGGUAAUA
This 403-nucleotide ribosomal RNA is filed under the name uncultured bacterium. Its description in RNAcentral is "partial 16S ribosomal RNA". It matches the Rfam family "Bacterial small subunit ribosomal RNA", at positions 28 to 525 of the family's 1533-position model. The record is from RNAcentral.